GUGAAAACAAACAAACUAGCACACAAUGAAAAACCAAUUUGUGCAUGUGAGAAUAUCUUGACCAGAGGGUAUUGAAAGGCUGACAUAGGCUACCUGAGAGAUCCACUAUAGAUGUCUUUGUGGCACAUUUUUCCUUAAGCUGUAUUGGCUCCAUGUGAUUCUUUACUUAGAAUGUUUGCCUGACACAUACAAAAUAAUCAAUAAAUGUUUUAGGAAUGAAUAAAUGACUGAAUAAAUGAGCACUUUUCUUAACCAGCCUGGGAAUUCAUGAAUGCCUCCCUAAAAGAGAUGACACCUGAACAGUGGGCCAAUUUUUUUGGAAAGAAGAAUGGAUAUUGAGAGGUCAUGACUUUGUUAAAAGCCAUAGAAAAGAAAAUGAGUUGCCUGCCUUCCAGCAGCCUGCUCGGGUCAAAAGAAGUGUGGAGCCAAGAAGGACAAUGGAGAACAAUUAUAAAGGAUUAUCAGCUGAUGAAAUGUUAUCUUUUUGAUUUUCAAGUCAUGUGUAUAUGGUACUGUUAAAUACAAUUAUAAUGAAAGUAAGUAGCCUGGUCUACCUGCUUUAGAUAUUUGAUAAUCAACAAGGAAUAAUAUUCAAAAUAUGUAGC
Molecule: long non-coding RNA, 605 nt
Filed under: Canis lupus dingo (dingo)
Lineage: Eukaryota; Metazoa; Chordata; Mammalia; Carnivora; Canidae
Description: lncRNA (ENSCAFG00020006266.1)
Source: RNAcentral